This 64-nucleotide transfer RNA is filed under the name Lepyrus sp. G312. RNAcentral describes it as "tRNA-Glu". Lineage: Eukaryota; Metazoa; Arthropoda; Insecta; Coleoptera; Curculionidae. The record is from RNAcentral.
AUAUUUAUAGUUUAUAAAAAACAUUACAUUUUCACUGUAAAAUUAGAUUGCAUAAAAUCUUUAA